GUGCCAGCAGCCGCGGUAAUACGGAGGGGGUUAGCGUUGUUCGGAAUUACUGGGCGUAAAGCGUACGUAGGCGGAUCAGAAAGUUGGGGGUGAAAUCCCGGGGCUCAACCCUGGAACUGCCUCUUAAACUCCUGGUCUUGAGUUCGAGAGAGGUGAGUGGAAUUCCAAGUGUAGAGGUGAAAUUCGUAGAUAUUUGGAGGAACACCAGUGGCGAAGGCGGCUCACUGGCUCGAUACUGACGCUGAGGUACGAAAGUGUGGGGAGCAAACAGGAUUAGAUACCCUGGUAGUCCACACCGUAAACGAUGAAUGCCAGUCGUCGGGCAGUAUACUGUUCGGUGACACACCUAACGGAUUAAGCAUUCCGCCUGGGGAGUACGGUCGCAAGAUUAAAACUCAAAGGAAUUGACGG
RNAcentral lists this ribosomal RNA (411 nucleotides) under Sulfitobacter sp. Its description in RNAcentral is "bacterial SSU rRNA". It matches the Rfam family "Bacterial small subunit ribosomal RNA", at positions 505 to 916 of the family's 1533-position model. The record is from RNAcentral. Lineage: Bacteria; Pseudomonadati; Pseudomonadota; Alphaproteobacteria; Rhodobacterales; Roseobacteraceae.